AGUGAACGCUGGCGGUAGGCCUAACACAUGCAAGUCGAACGGCAGCACAGUAAGAGUUUGCUCUUACGGGAGGCGAGUGGCGGACGGGUGAGGUAUACAUCGGACUCUACUUUUUCGUGGGGGAUCACGUAGGGACACUUACGCUAAUACCGCAUACGACCUACGGGUGAAAGCAGGGGAUCUUCGGACCUUGCGCGAUUGAAUGAGCAGAUGUCGGAUUAGCUAGUUGGCGGGGUAAAGGCCCACCAAGGCGACGAUCCGUAGCUGGUCUGAGAGGAUGAUCAGCCACACUGGAACUGAGACACGGUCCAGACUCCUACGGGAGGCAGCAGUGGGGAAUAUUGGACAAUGGGCGCAAGCCUGAUCCAGCCAUGCCGCGUGGGUGAAGAAGGCCUUCGGGUUGUAAAGCCCUUUUGUUGGGAAAGAAAAGCAGCAGGUUAAUACCCCGCUGUUCUGACGGUACCCAAAGAAUAAGCACCGGCUAACUUCGUG
Molecule: ribosomal RNA, 492 nt
Filed under: uncultured bacterium
Lineage: Bacteria
Description: partial 16S ribosomal RNA
Rfam family: Bacterial small subunit ribosomal RNA
Source: RNAcentral